GUGGGGAAUCUUAGACAAUGGGCGCAAGCCUGAUCUAGCCAUGCCGCGUGAGCGAUGAAGGCCUUAGGGUUGUAAAGCUCUUUCGUGGGGGAAGAUAAUGACUGUACCCCAAGAAGAAGCCCCGGCUAACUCCGUGCCAGCAGCCGCGGUAAUACGGAGGGGGCUAGCGUUGUUCGGAAUUACUGGGCGUAAAGCGCACGUAGGCGGACUGGAAAGUCAGGGGUGAAAUCCCGGGGCUCAACCACGGAACUGCCUUUGAAACUCCCAGUCUUGAGUUCGAGAGAGGUGAGUGGAAUUCCGAGUGUAGAGGUGAAAUUCGUAGAUAUUCGGAGGAACACCAGUGGCGAAGGCGGCUCACUGGCUCGAUACUGACGCUGAGGUGCGAAAGCGUGGGGAGCAAACAGGAUUAGAAACCCUUGUAGUCC
This 425-nucleotide ribosomal RNA is filed under the name uncultured bacterium. Its description in RNAcentral is "partial 16S ribosomal RNA". It matches the Rfam family "Bacterial small subunit ribosomal RNA", at positions 354 to 796 of the family's 1533-position model. The record is from RNAcentral.